CCUACGGGGGGCAGCAGUGGGGAAUAUUGCACAAUGGGGGAAACCCUGAUGCAGCGACGCCGCGUGAAGGAAGAAGUAUUUCGGUAUGUAAACUUCUAUCAGCAGGGAAGAAAAUGACGGUACCUGACUAAGAAGCCCCGGCUAACUACGUGCCAGCAGCCGCGGUAAUACGUAGGGGGCAAGCGUUAUCCGGAUUUACUGGGUGUAAAGGGAGCGUAGGCGGUUUAGCAAGUCAGGAGUGAAAGCCCGGGGCUCAACUCCGGGACUGCUUUUGAAACUGUUGAGCUAGAGUGCAGGAGAGGUAAGUGGAAUUCCUAGUGUAGCGGUGAAAUGCGUAGAUAUUAGGAGGAACACCAGUGGCGAAGGCGGCUUACUGGACUGUAAAUGACGCUGAGGCUCGAAAGCGUGGGGAGCAAACAGGAUUAGAUACCCGGGUAGUC
Molecule: ribosomal RNA, 440 nt
Filed under: uncultured bacterium
Lineage: Bacteria
Description: partial 16S ribosomal RNA
Rfam family: Bacterial small subunit ribosomal RNA
Source: RNAcentral